RNAcentral lists this long non-coding RNA (316 nucleotides) under Setaria viridis. RNAcentral's name for it is "long non-coding RNA (SVIR_LNC008076)". The record is from RNAcentral. Lineage: Eukaryota; Viridiplantae; Streptophyta; Magnoliopsida; Poales; Poaceae.
GGACUCGGGAACUAUAUGAACUGACUAGCCGGAAUCUGGGGUACACCACCAUCUUGGCCCAAGCCGGACCCCCCGAACGGGGACCAGGACCCCACUCGAACCGACCUGCUCGCAGCUCAACGAGCACCACGGUUCGUCCGGCGAGGAUAGCGCGGCACGGCUCACCCCCUCCGUCCCAGCGAACGGACGCAUGAGGGGUAACGAUCAAAAGUCGAUCUAGCCUCCUGAUCAGUCUCCUGCAACGCGCGGGGGCUCGAGGGCUAGCAUCGCAACCAACGACCACACACGUGACCAAACUCCCCGGCCAAGCUGAACG